Molecule: ribosomal RNA, 253 nt
Filed under: uncultured bacterium
Lineage: Bacteria
Description: partial 16S ribosomal RNA
Rfam family: Bacterial small subunit ribosomal RNA
Source: RNAcentral
UACGAAGGGGGCUAGCGUUGUUCGGAAUUACUGGGCGUAAAGCGCGCGUAGGCGGCUCGAUCAGUCAGGGGUGAAAUCCCAGGGCUCAACCCUGGAACUGCCUUUGAUACUGUCGAUCUGGAGUAUGGAAGAGGUGAGUGGAAUUCCGAGUGUAGAGGUGAAAUUCGUAGAUAUUCGGAAGAACACCAGUGGCGAAGGCGACUCACUGGACACAUAUUGACGCUGAGGUGCGAAAGCGUGGGGAGCAAACAGG